UACGGGGGGAGCAAGCGUUGUUCGGAUUUACUGGGCGUAAAGGGCGCGUAGGCGGUCACGACAAGUCAGUUGUGAAAUCUCCGGGCUUAACUCGGAACGGUCAACUGAUACUGUCGGACUAGAGUGCAGAAGGGGCAACUGGAAUUCUCGGUGUAGCGGUGAAAUGCGUAGACAUCGAGAGGAACACCUGCGGCGAAGGCGGGUUGCUGGGCUGACACUGACGCUGAGGCGCGAAAGCUAGGGGAGCGAACGGG
Molecule: ribosomal RNA, 254 nt
Filed under: uncultured bacterium
Lineage: Bacteria
Description: partial 16S ribosomal RNA
Rfam family: Bacterial small subunit ribosomal RNA
Source: RNAcentral